ACCAUGCAGAUUGGAAUGGCACUGUAAGUUUUAUCCUUUAACACAACAGUGGUUAUUAAAUCAUAUCUUAGUAUAAUCGAUCAUGCUUUUCUUAGUUACAAUGAUGAUAUAAUAAUAUGUAUAGGAAUUUUGGUAAUAUGGCCAUGUUUUUAUAUAGGAUGGUUUUGAAAUUGUCACCUUUGAUAUUUUAUGCAUUGAUGCAAUGAUAGUGAUCUGUUUACAAGUCUAUAACACCUUAGGAGAAAUCUUGUGCAAUAAAUUUCACAUGGAAUUAUUUGUCUUUUCAUUAGUAACAGCAGGGGGUUUACUGCUAGAAUUUAUAGGUUAUGAUUA
Molecule: unclassified non-coding RNA, 333 nt
Filed under: Hevea brasiliensis (rubber tree)
Lineage: Eukaryota; Viridiplantae; Streptophyta; Magnoliopsida; Malpighiales; Euphorbiaceae
Source: RNAcentral